This 460-nucleotide ribosomal RNA is filed under the name uncultured bacterium. Its description in RNAcentral is "partial 16S ribosomal RNA". It matches the Rfam family "Bacterial small subunit ribosomal RNA", at positions 338 to 795 of the family's 1533-position model. The record is from RNAcentral.
CCUACGGGUGGCAGCAGUGAGGAAUAUUGGUCAAUGGGCGUAAGCCUGAACCAGCCAAGUCGCGUGAGGGAUGAAGGUUCUAUGUAUGGUAAACCCCUUUUAUAAGGGAAUAAAGUGUGGGACGCGUACUAUUUUGUAUGUACCUUAUGAAUAAGGAUCGGCUAACUCCGUGCCAGCAGCCGCGGUAAUACGGAGGAUCCGAGCUUUAUCCGGAUUUAUUGGGUUUAAAGGGUGCGGAGGCGGCCUUGUAAGUCAGACGGGAAAGUCUGUGGCUCAACCAUAGAAUUGCCGUUGAAACUGGGGGGCUUGAGUAUGUUUGGGGCAGGCGGAAUGCGUGGUGUAGCGGUGAAAUGCUUAGAUAUCACGCGGAACCCCGAUGGCGAAGGCAGCCUGCCAAGCCAUGACUGACGCUGAGGCACGAAAGCGUGGGGAUCAAACAGGAUUAGAUACCCGAGUAGUC